RNAcentral lists this ribosomal RNA (1116 nucleotides) under Sanguibacter sp. Bac_CS_29. Its description in RNAcentral is "bacterial SSU rRNA". It matches the Rfam family "Bacterial small subunit ribosomal RNA", at positions 202 to 1334 of the family's 1533-position model. Lineage: Bacteria; Bacillati; Actinomycetota; Actinomycetes; Micrococcales; Sanguibacteraceae. The record is from RNAcentral.
GGAAAGUUUUUCGGUCAAGGAUGGACUCGCGGCCUAUCAGCUUGUUGGUGAGGUAAUGGCUCACCAAGGCGUCGACGGGUAGCCGGCCUGAGAGGGCGACCGGCCACACUGGGACUGAGACACGGCCCAGACUCCUACGGGAGGCAGCAGUGGGGAAUAUUGCACAAUGGGCGAAAGCCUGAUGCAGCGACGCCGCGUGAGGGAUGAAGGCCUUCGGGUUGUAAACCUCUUUCAGUAGGGAAGAAGCGAAAGUGACGGUACCUGCAGAAGAAGCGCCGGCUAACUACGUGCCAGCAGCCGCGGUAAUACGUAGGGCGCAAGCGUUGUCCGGAAUUAUUGGGCGUAAAGAGCUCGUAGGCGGUUUGUCGCGUCUGGUGUGAAAACUCAAGGCUCAACCUUGAGCUUGCAUCGGGUACGGGCAGACUAGAGUGUGGUAGGGGUGACUGGAAUUCCUGGUGUAGCGGUGGAAUGCGCAGAUAUCAGGAGGAACACCGAUGGCGAAGGCAGGUCACUGGGCCACUACUGACGCUGAGGAGCGAAAGCAUGGGGAGCGAACAGGAUUAGAUACCCUGGUAGUCCAUGCCGUAAACGUUGGGCACUAGGUGUGGGGCUCAUUCCACGAGUUCCGCGCCGCAGCUAACGCAUUAAGUGCCCCGCCUGGGGAGUACGGCCGCAAGGCUAAAACUCAAAGGAAUUGACGGGGGCCCGCACAAGCGGCGGAGCAUGCGGAUUAAUUCGAUGCAACGCGAAGAACCUUACCAAGGCUUGACAUACACCGGAAUCAUGCAGAGAUGUGUGCGUCUUCGGACUGGUGUACAGGUGGUGCAUGGUUGUCGUCAGCUCGUGUCGUGAGAUGUUGGGUUAAGUCCCGCAACGAGCGCAACCCUCGUCCUAUGUUGCCAGCACGUUAUGGUGGGGACUCAUAGGAGACUGCCGGGGUCAACUCGGAGGAAGGUGGGGAUGACGUCAAAUCAUCAUGCCCCUUAUGUCUUGGGCUUCACGCAUGCUACAAUGGCCGGUACAAAGGGCUGCGAUACCGCGAGGUGGAGCGAAUCCCAAAAAGCCGGUCUCAGUUCGGAUUGGGGUCUGCAACUCGACCCCAUGAAGUCGGAGUCG